GUAACGGCGAGUGAAGCGGCAACAGCUCAAAUUUGAAAUCUGGCUCUCGGGCCCGAGUUGUAAUUUGUAGAGGAUGCUUUUGGUGAGGUGCCUUCCGAGUUCCCUGGAACGGGACGCCAUAGAGGGUGAGAGCCCCGUCUGGUUGGACACCGAUCCUCUGUAAAGCUCCUUCGACGAGUCGAGUAGUUUGGGAAUGCUGCUCUAAAUGGGAGGUAUAUGUCUUCUAAAGCUAAAUACCGGCCAGAGACCGAUAGCGCACAAGUAGAGUGAUCGAAAGAUGAAAAGAACUUUGAAAAGAGAGUUAAACAGUACGUGAAAUUGUUGAAAGGGAAGCGCUUGUGACCAGACUUGGGCUUGGUUGAUCAUCCGGGGUUCUCCCCGGUGCACUCUUCCGGCCCAGGCCAGCAUCAGUUCGCCCUGGGGGACAAAGGCUUCGGGAAUGUGGCUCUCUCCGGGGAGUGUUAUAGCCCGUUGCGUAAUACCCUGUGGCGGACUGAGGUUCGCGCAUUCGCAAGGAUGCUGGCGUAAUGGUCAUCAGUGACCCGUCUUGAAACACGGACCAAGGAGUCGUCUUCGUAUGCGAGUGUUCGGGUGUCAAACCCCUACGCGAAAUGAAAGUGAACGCAGGUGAGAGCUUCGGCGCAUCAUCGACCGAUCCUGAUGUUAUCGGAUGGAUUUGAGUAAGAGCAUACGGGGCCGGACCCGAAAGAAGGUGAACUAUGCCUGUGUAGGGUGAAGCCAGAGGAAACUCUGGUGGAGGCUCGCAGCGGUUCUGACGUGCAAAUCGAUCGUCAAACAUGGGCAUGGGGGCGAAAGACUAAUCGAACCUUCUAGUAGCUGGUUUCCGCCGAAGUUUCCCUCAGGAUAGCAGUGUUGAACUCAGUUUUAUGAGGUAAAGCGAAUGAUUAGGGACUCGGGGGCGCUAUUUAGCCUUCAUCCAUUCUCAAACUUUAAAUAUGUAAGAAGCCCUUGUUGCUUAAUUGAACGUGGGC
RNAcentral lists this ribosomal RNA (992 nucleotides) under Fusarium keratoplasticum. RNAcentral describes it as "partial large subunit ribosomal RNA". It matches the Rfam family "Eukaryotic large subunit ribosomal RNA", at positions 83 to 1106 of the family's 3401-position model. The record is from RNAcentral. Lineage: Eukaryota; Fungi; Ascomycota; Sordariomycetes; Hypocreales; Nectriaceae.